Molecule: ribosomal RNA, 206 nt
Filed under: uncultured bacterium
Lineage: Bacteria
Description: partial 16S ribosomal RNA
Rfam family: Bacterial small subunit ribosomal RNA
Source: RNAcentral
UGCGUAGGCGGUGUCGUAAGUCGGGUGUGAAAUCUCGGGGCUUAACCCCGAAACUGCAUUCGAUACUGCGGUGCUCGAGGACUGGAGAGGAGACUGGAAUUCACGGUGUAGCAGUGAAAUGCGUAGAUAUCGUGAGGAAGGCCAGUGGCGAAGGCGGGUCUCUGGACAGUUCCUGACACUGAGGCACGAAGGCCAGGGAGCAAACG